This 450-nucleotide ribosomal RNA is filed under the name uncultured bacterium. RNAcentral's name for it is "partial 16S ribosomal RNA". It matches the Rfam family "Bacterial small subunit ribosomal RNA", at positions 354 to 796 of the family's 1533-position model. The record is from RNAcentral.
GUGGGGAAUAUUGGACAAUGGGCGAAAGCCUGAUCCAGCCAUGCCGCGUGUGUGAAGAAGGUCUUCGGAUUGUAAAGCACUUUAAGUUGGGAGGAAGGGCAGUAAGUUAAUACCUUGCUGUUUUGACGUUACCGACAGAAUAAGCACCGGCUAACUUCGUGCCAGCAGCCGCGGUAAUACGAAGGGUGCAAGCGUUAAUCGGAAUUACUGGGCGUAAAGCGCGCGUAGGUGGUUUUGUAAGUUGGAGGUGAAAUCCCCGGGCUCAACCUGGGAACUGCCUCCAAAACUGCAUGACUAGAGUACGGUAAAGGGUAGUGGAAUUUCCUGUGUAGCGGUGAAAUGCGUAGAUAUAGGAAGGAACACCAGUGGCGAAGGCGACUACCUGGACUGAUACUGACACUGAGGUGCGAAAGCGUGGGGAGCAAACAGGAUUAGAAACCCGAGUAGUCC